UCUGAACUGAGUCUUCCUUGAUCCAACUGGAAGGCUAUUUUGAGGAGUGAGCCAGAGUUGCUUAUGUAUUUCAAACACUGGUGCACACUUCUGUUUGUUGGUUAGAUCAGUCCUAUGGACUAUUGCUGCUGUGAAAUCCUAACUUCCAGACAGCUGUUUCCUGCUUUUCAAUGUAAACACCUUGUGAGUUGUCUCCUGGUGGAGAUGCUGAAGUACAAAAGCAGUCACAGCAUCAUCAUCCUGUGAUAUUUUAGACACUGUCAGUAUCUGAAAGAAUACCUAGAAGUCUGCUUGUCUUGCAGGGUGUUGCUAAUAUCCUGCACAAUUUCUUUCCUGGAUGUCUUGUCUAGCACAGCAUCCUCCUCCUUGUUUCAUUCUAAUGCUGUUUCUUUUGCUGGCACAAGAUCCUGAAAUGCCCCUGCCAUCUCUUUACAGCCAAGGCAACCAGGGUCAAUGGAUACCAAGGUGUAGCUAGAAUUUUAAGGAUGCAAAUAACCUGAAUGAACUCCUUUACUGCAAACACCAGACCGACAUGGACUGAGGACACAAGUAUCUCCAUGAGCAAGAACUGCUGGAUGGGACUCUCCAAAGAACUUAGUUCUCUCUCCAUGAGAGGCUCCUUCUCUCUGACUGUGUUUUAGAUUUAUCUUGCUUCCCCCUGGGGCUAAAGGAUUUGAGAUCAUUAGAGAGAUAGGAGGUGGUGGAGUGGUGACCCACCAGUAAUGUAGCUCAGUCAUUCUGAGGACUGCUAUCAGGAAUGAUUUAUCCAAGAGGUCUGCAGAACAAAUAGACUUUGAUGCCUUGCAGCUGCUCUACAUGUGUUUGUUGACAGCUCUGGCACUUCAGUGAAUAAGUCAGUCCUGAAUUUUAGGCUGUAUCACCCAGACUGAAGAGUUUUGUAUCUCCUUGCUGACAUAGACUGUGUGGAGGUACAGAUACAAGAACCUGUUUCAUGGGGCUGGUUUACAUUUGAUAAUUCUUAUGACUUCCUCUUUUUAACUUGGUCUUGUAGUUUAUGGUGGAGAUAGAGCUGAGGGUCCUCACUGAUGAGUGGAGGACUGUCUUAUCAGACCUCAGACUAUGGUCAGACCUCUUUAAAAUUUCUCUCCCUGUAUGUCUAUCAAUCUCAUUCUGUGUGAGUUACUAAGUACCAUCUUUGCAGUGCCUCAGCUUUAUUUGACAAUCCAAGUUUCCUUCCAAGUGACCUUUUGAGGAUAACAUUUGCAGGUUAAAUGUGCUGAAUAAGGACAAAUGAGAAAUGCAAAAAAAGUGAAAAUGGGUUUUAAAGAAGAUCAUCUUCUGUCA
Molecule: long non-coding RNA, 1305 nt
Organism: Neopsephotus bourkii (Bourke's parrot)
Lineage: Eukaryota; Metazoa; Chordata; Aves; Psittaciformes; Psittacidae
Exons: 2
Source: RefSeq, a predicted model, not a curated record